This 497-nucleotide ribosomal RNA is filed under the name uncultured bacterium. RNAcentral's name for it is "partial 16S ribosomal RNA". It matches the Rfam family "Bacterial small subunit ribosomal RNA", at positions 28 to 507 of the family's 1533-position model. The record is from RNAcentral.
GAUGAACGCUGGCGGCGUGCCUAAUACAUGCAAGUCGAGCGAACAGACGAGGAGCUUGCUCCUCUGACGUUAGCGGCGGACGGGUGAGUAACACGUGGAUAACCUACCUAUAAGACUGGGAUAACUUCGGGAAACCGGAGCUAAUACCGGAUAAUAUAUUGAACCGCAUGGUUCAAUAGUGAAAGACGGUUUUGCUGUCACUUAUAGAUGGAUCCGCGCCGCAUUAGCUAGUUGGUAAGGUAACGGCUUACCAAGGCGACGAUGCGUAGCCGACCUGAGAGGGUGAUCGGCCACACUGGAACUGAGACACGGUCCAGACUCCUACGGGAGGCAGCAGUAGGGAAUCUUCCGCAAUGGGCGAAAGCUUGACGGAGCAACGCCGCGUGAAUGAUGAAGGUCUUCGGAUCGUAAAACUCUGUUAUUAGGGAAGAACAAAUGUGUAAGUAACUAUGCACGUCUUGACGGUACCUAAUCAGAAAGCCACGGCUAACUACGUG